CCUACGGGAGGCAGCAGUGAGGAAUAUUGGUCAAUGGGCGCGAGCCUGAACCAGCCAAGUAGCGUGAAGGAUGACUGCCCUACGGGUUGUAAACUUCUUUUAUAAAGGAAUAAAGUGAGGCACGUGUGCCUUUUUGUAUGUACUUUAUGAAUAAGGCUCGGCUAACUCCGUGCCAGCAGCCGCGGUAAUACGGAGGAUCCGAGCGUUAUCCGGAUUUAUUGGGUUUAAAGGGUGCGUAGGCGGCCUUUUAAGUCAGCGGUGAAAGUCUGUGGCUCAACCAUAGAAUUGCCGUUGAAACUGGGGGGCUUGAGUAUGUUUGAGGCAGGCGGAAUGCGGGGUGUAGCGGUGAAAUGCUUAGAGAUCACGCAGAACCCCGAUUGCGAAGGCAGCCUGCCAAGCCAUGACUGACGCUGAUGCACGAAAGCGUGGGGAUCAAACAGGAUUAGAUACCCUGGUAGUC
RNAcentral lists this ribosomal RNA (460 nucleotides) under uncultured bacterium. RNAcentral's name for it is "partial 16S ribosomal RNA". It matches the Rfam family "Bacterial small subunit ribosomal RNA", at positions 338 to 795 of the family's 1533-position model. The record is from RNAcentral.